Molecule: ribosomal RNA, 253 nt
Filed under: uncultured bacterium
Lineage: Bacteria
Description: partial 16S ribosomal RNA
Rfam family: Bacterial small subunit ribosomal RNA
Source: RNAcentral
UACGGAGGAUCCAAGCGUUAUCCGGAAUCAUUGGGUUUAAAGGGUCCGUAGGCGGUCUUAUAAGUCAGUGGUGAAAUCUCUCCGCUCAACGGGGAAACGGCCAUUGAUACUGUAAGACUUGAAUUAUUGGGAAGUAACUAGAAUAUGUAGUGUAGCGGUGAAAUGCUUAGAUAUUACAUGGAAUACCGAUUGCGAAGGCAGGUUACUAUCAAUACAUUGACGCUGAUGGACGAAAGCGUGGGGAGCGAACAGG